RNAcentral lists this ribosomal RNA (253 nucleotides) under uncultured bacterium. RNAcentral describes it as "partial 16S ribosomal RNA". It matches the Rfam family "Bacterial small subunit ribosomal RNA", at positions 524 to 776 of the family's 1533-position model. The record is from RNAcentral.
UACGUAGGGCGCAAGCGUUGUCCGGAAUUAUUGGGCGUAAAGAGCUCGUAGGCGGUUUGUCACGUCGGGUGUGAAAGCCCGGGGCUUAACCCCGGGUCUGCAUUCGAUACGGGCAGACUGGAGUGUGGUAGGGGAGAUCGGAAUUCCUGGUGUAGCGGUGAAAUGCGCAGAUAUCAGGAGGAACACCGGUGGCGAAGGCGGAUCUCUGGGCCAUUACUGACGCUGAGGAGCGAAAGCGUGGGGAGCGAACAGG